GCCUGACUGGCUCAGUUGGUAGAACAUGUGACUCUUGAUCUCGGGGUCAUGAGUUCAAGCCCCACGUUGGGCG
This 73-nucleotide transfer RNA is filed under the name Ailuropoda melanoleuca (giant panda). It matches the Rfam family "tRNA". Rfam says of the family: Transfer RNA (tRNA) molecules are approximately 80 nucleotides in length. Their secondary structure includes four short double-helical elements and three loops (D, anti-codon, and T loops). Further hydrogen bonds mediate the characteristic L-shaped molecular structure. tRNAs have two regions of fundamental functional importance: the anti-codon, which is responsible for specific mRNA codon recognition, and the 3' end, to which the tRNAs corresponding amino acid is attached (by aminoacyl-tRNA synthetases). tRNAs cope with the degeneracy of the genetic code in two manners: having more than one tRNA (with a specific anti-codon) for a particular amino acid; and 'wobble' base-pairing, i.e. permitting non-standard base-pairing at the 3rd anti-codon position. The record is from Rfam by way of RNAcentral. Lineage: Eukaryota; Metazoa; Chordata; Mammalia; Carnivora; Ursidae.